Molecule: long non-coding RNA, 282 nt
Filed under: Lathyrus oleraceus (garden pea)
Lineage: Eukaryota; Viridiplantae; Streptophyta; Magnoliopsida; Fabales; Fabaceae
Description: Pisum sativum (pea) long non-coding RNA (PSAT_LNC031444)
Source: RNAcentral
ACAAAGAAAAAGAGGUAUCCCAAGACGAGGGUAUUAAAGGUGUGUCCCAAACGUUAAACACCAUAACAUGAGGAUUCACCAGGGGUGAUUUGCUCUGCUCAUAAAAGGUACGCUUGCCAAAUCCUAAAUAUAGAAGACCUCCUAAACAUCGAGGGAGAAGGAUAAACCCAAGAGCCAUAAGCCAUAAUCGCCUUCUAUGAGAAAGAUGUGUAAAGACAAAGUGUCAGACAACAUACGAUCGCAAGUUUCGAUGAUGACAAAAGACCAUCAUGCACGCCUACA